This 286-nucleotide long non-coding RNA is filed under the name Mytilus galloprovincialis (Mediterranean mussel). The record is from RNAcentral. Lineage: Eukaryota; Metazoa; Mollusca; Bivalvia; Mytilida; Mytilidae.
AAGGAUUGUGCUCGAUAUUCAUAUGAUGAAGACGUCAAUCUGUUUAAUUGAGGUCUGGAGCUGACAUGUUAGAAACUGCUAGUUGUCGUCCUUUAUUAAUCUACCAAGCGGAAAUGUGUAAUUUCUUUCUGGAUGCAUUUUCGUUUUGAGGUUUUCUCCAUGAUCCACGUUGAAACUUGAUCAAUUUCUUGCAAAAUUCAGAGACUACUGUUUGCAUUUAAACAACUAAACCUUAAAGUGCCUGGUUUAUAAUACAUAUGUACAUUGUCGGAAAUAUAAAAAAAAA